RNAcentral lists this ribosomal RNA (253 nucleotides) under uncultured bacterium. RNAcentral describes it as "partial 16S ribosomal RNA". It matches the Rfam family "Bacterial small subunit ribosomal RNA", at positions 524 to 776 of the family's 1533-position model. The record is from RNAcentral.
GACAGUGGCCUCGAGCGUUAGGCGGAAUCACUGGGCUUAAAGCGUGUGUAGGCGGAUCGUUAAGUACCUUGUGAAAUCCCACGGCUCAACCGUGGAACGGCUGGGUAUACUGGCGGUCUUGGGCCAUUCAGGGGCGACUGGAACAAGCGGUGGAGCGGUGAAAUGCGUAGAUAUCGCUUGGAACGCCGAAGGUGAAAACAGGUCGCUGGGGAUGUGCCGACGCUGAGACACGAAAGCCAGGGGAGCAAACGGG